CAGAGAAUAGUUUAAUUAAAAUAUUAAUUUUGGAGAUUAAUGUUAGGGAGUAAGUCUCUUUCUCUGA
This 67-nucleotide transfer RNA is filed under the name Megasoma mars. RNAcentral describes it as "tRNA-Pro". Lineage: Eukaryota; Metazoa; Arthropoda; Insecta; Coleoptera; Scarabaeidae. RNAcentral also lists the same sequence under 1 other name. The record is from RNAcentral.